CUGGCGGCGUGCUUAACACAUGCAAGUCGAGCGGUAAGGCCCUUCGGGGUACACGAGCGGCGAACGGGUGAGUAACACGUGAGCAACCUGCCCCUGACUCUGGGAUAAGCGGUGGAAACGCCGUCUAAUACCGGAUACGACCUUCCACCUCAUGGUGGAGGGUGGAAAGUUUUUUCGGUCAGGGAUGGGCUCGCGGCCUAUCAGCUUGUUGGUGGGGUAACGGCCUACCAAGGCGAUUACGGGUAGCCGGCCUGAGAGGGCGACCGGCCACACUGGGACUGAGACACGGCCCAGACUCCUGCGGGAGGCAGCAGUGGGGAAUAUUGCGCAAUGGGCGAAAGCCUGACGCAGCGACGCCGCGUGGGGGAUGACGGCCUUCGGGUUGUAAACCUCUUUUACCACCAACGCAGGCUCCGGGUUCUCUCGGGGUUGACGGUAGGUGGGGAAUAAGGACCGGCUAACUACGUGCCAGCAGCCGCGGUAAUACGUAGGGUCCGAGCGUUGUCCGGAAUUAUUGGGCGUAAAGAGCUCGUAGGCGGCGUGUCGCGUCUGCUGUGAAAGACCGGGGCUUAACUCCGGUUCUGCAGUGGAUACGGGCAUGCUAGAGGUAGGUAGGGGAGACUGGAAUUCCUGGUGUAGCGGUGAAAUGCGCAGAUAUCAGGAGGAACACCGGUGGCGAAGGCGGGUCUCUGGGCCUUACCUGACGCUGAGGAGCGAAAGCAUGGGGAGCGAACAGGAUUAGAUACCCUGGUAGUCCAUGCCGUAAACGUUGGGCGCUAGGUGUGGGGACUUUCCACGGUUUCCGCGCCGUAGCUAACGCAUUAAGCGCCCCGCCUGGGGAGUACGGCCGCAAGGCUAAAACUCAAAGGAAUUGACGGGGGCCCGCACAAGCGGCGGAGCAUGUUGCUUAAUUCGACGCAACGCGAAGAACCUUACCAAGGUUU
Molecule: ribosomal RNA, 944 nt
Filed under: Nocardiopsis alba
Lineage: Bacteria; Bacillati; Actinomycetota; Actinomycetes; Streptosporangiales; Nocardiopsidaceae
Description: bacterial SSU rRNA
Rfam family: Bacterial small subunit ribosomal RNA
Source: RNAcentral